UACGAGUGGCUCGAGCGUUAUCCGGAAUCAUUGGGCGUAAAGGGCGCGUAGGCGGUCAUAUUAGUCUUCUGUUAAAUUCUUCGGCUUAACCGGGAGGGUGCGGCGGAAACUGGAGUGCUUGAGGGUGGGAGAGGUAAGCGGAAUUCCUGGUGUAGCGGUGAAAUGCGUAGAUAUCAGGAGGAACACCUGUGGUGUAGACAGCUUACUGGACCGCUUCUGACGCUGAGACACGAAAGCGUGGGUAGCAAACAGG
Molecule: ribosomal RNA, 253 nt
Filed under: uncultured bacterium
Lineage: Bacteria
Description: partial 16S ribosomal RNA
Rfam family: Bacterial small subunit ribosomal RNA
Source: RNAcentral